CGGAUUGUAGUCUGNAACCCGACUACAUGAAGCUGGAAUCGCUAGUAAUCGCGGAUCAGAAUGCCGCGGUGAAUACGUUCCCGGGUCUUGUACACACCGCCCGUCACACCAUGGGAGCCGGGAAUGCCCGAAGUCGGUGACCUAACCGAAAGGAAGGAGCCGCCGAAGGCAGGUCUGGUAACUGGGGUGAAGUCGUAACAAGGUACC
Molecule: ribosomal RNA, 207 nt
Filed under: uncultured bacterium
Lineage: Bacteria
Description: partial 16S ribosomal RNA
Rfam family: Bacterial small subunit ribosomal RNA
Source: RNAcentral